This 500-nucleotide ribosomal RNA is filed under the name uncultured Myrionecta. Its description in RNAcentral is "SSU rRNA". It matches the Rfam family "Eukaryotic small subunit ribosomal RNA", at positions 34 to 598 of the family's 1831-position model. Lineage: Eukaryota; Ciliophora; Litostomatea; Cyclotrichida; Mesodiniidae. The record is from RNAcentral.
CUGUCUCAGACUAAGCCAUGCACGUCUAGUACAAACUAAAUGAUGGUGAAACUGCAAAUGGCUCAUUACAACGGUUAUGAUGUACCCGGGAGUUCCGAUGGAUAUUUCCAGUAACACUAGAGCUAAUACAUGUCCCUGCGUUUAUUAGUUUCGCACAGUCCGUCGCUGAGUCAUGGUAAACAGUUGAUCGACUCGACGUCCCGGAACAGUUUCCGCCCCAUCAGCUUCGAUGGUUGGGUAUUGGCCUACCAUUGCAACAACGGGUAACGAGGAAUUAGGGUUUGAUUUCGGAGAGGGAGCCUGAGAAACGGCUACCACAUCUACGGAUGGCAGCAGGCGCGCAAAUUACCCAAUGCAGACACUGUGAGGUAGUGACGAGAAAUAAUAAAGCGGGACUUCUGUUUCGCUAUUAUAAUGAGGAAUAACCAAAGGUCAUUCCGAUUAGCAACUGAUGGGAAAGUCUGGUGCCAGCAGCCGCGGUAAUACCAGCGUCAGUAGCA